GACGAACCUUGCUAACGUUAUUCGGAAUUACUGGGCUUAAAGGGUGCGUAGGCGGUGCAGCAAGUCGGGUGUGAAAUCCUGGAGCUCAACUCCAGAACUGCCUUCGAUACUGGCGAUCUCGAGUUCGGGAGAGGUGAGUGGAACUGCGAGUGUAGAGGUGAAAUUCGUAGAUAUUCGCAAGAACACCAGUGGCGAAGGCGGCUCACUGGCCCGAUACUGACGCUGAGGUGCGAAAGCGUGGGGAGCAAACAGG
RNAcentral lists this ribosomal RNA (253 nucleotides) under uncultured bacterium. RNAcentral's name for it is "partial 16S ribosomal RNA". It matches the Rfam family "Bacterial small subunit ribosomal RNA", at positions 524 to 776 of the family's 1533-position model. The record is from RNAcentral.